UUUUAUGAGAGUUUGAUCCUGGCUCAGGACGAACGCUGGCGGCGUGCCUAAUACAUGCAAGUCGAACGCUUCUUUUUCCACCGGAGCUUGCUCCACCGGAAAAAGAGGAGUGGCGAACGGGUGAGUAACACGUGGGUAACCUGCCCAUCAGAAGGGGAUAACACUUGGAAACAGGUGCUAAUACCGUAUAACAAUCGAAACCGCAUGGUUUUGAUUUGAAAGGCGCUUUCGGGUGUCGCUGAUGGAUGGA
RNAcentral lists this ribosomal RNA (250 nucleotides) under Enterococcus faecium. RNAcentral's name for it is "partial 16S ribosomal RNA". It matches the Rfam family "Bacterial small subunit ribosomal RNA", at positions 1 to 229 of the family's 1533-position model. Lineage: Bacteria; Bacillati; Bacillota; Bacilli; Lactobacillales; Enterococcaceae. The record is from RNAcentral.